This is a long non-coding RNA of Drosophila biarmipes, 1103 nucleotides long. RefSeq lists it as uncharacterized. The record is from RefSeq and is a predicted model, not a curated record. The transcript is spliced from 3 exons. NCBI's taxonomy places the organism in Eukaryota, Metazoa, Arthropoda, Insecta, Diptera, Drosophilidae.
GCGUCAUUUUAUUUAUAUAGAUUUUUCAGAAAGUUCCUAAAAAACAAAAAUACAAAAAGGCAAUCUCUUUAUUUAUUAUUAAAUUCUAUUCGAUUUUUGAAACGACAUAGCUAGUAAAAGAACUUUGAGUAUUUAUUCGAGUGCCGUCGGGCGCCACUUAAUUGAAACCCUGCUCUCGGGGGAAAAAAGAAGUACGCGGAACUUGAGGACAUCCUGAAUGGCGUUCUCUGGCUUUCAAAGAACGGAGUGCGGCACUCCAGCUUCGACUCUCAUGUGUUUAUGUGUGCGAUUCACACCUGCGGACUCCGGCAGCCACAGCUUCAGCUUUUCCCUCAGAGGAACACCGGAAUCCCGGGCAGAACUAACUGGAGCGGAGGCCAGGAGUGCCACUCGUCAGAUAAUCGCAGAAACGGCCCAAGAAGAGCAUCCUCAAGAAAAUGAUAUAUAAAAUGCCUGAGUCCCCACCCCGAUUUCCCCCGAUUUUCCAGGGGGGUUUGGGAGGCAAGUCCAAGUCGACCUCAGCUGAAUGUUCCUUUGAAACAUGAUCCAAUCGAUGGACACUUUGUUGGCCAUCCUGGGUUGGCUCCUCCUCGUCUUUAGCCCCCGAUUCGGCGCCCAAGUCCCCCAGUCCGUCCCCCUUUUUCAGCCAUCUGUGUUGUGAUGAAAGCACCAGGAUCCGGAGCCGAGUGCGGCGGAGGCUCGUAAAAUGUUUUGUCGUUUGUAAUCUAUUUACACAAAAGGAUGCUCCCGACCCAGACUCGCAGUUCCUCUCAUAUCAUCUCAUCCCGGCGCGCUGUGUUGUGUUAUGUUUUUCAAGAGCAGCCGAACAAGGACAUGCAGAUGGUCAGGGGACCGACGGUGGAGCACUAUCAACAGCAGGCCCUGGAUGCAGGACGCAGGACGCAGGACACAGGAUGCUGGAUCCCGGGCGCUACUGCUGGAUGGAUUGCCAUGGUGAGGCGACAUUUCAUGACAAAUCCUUUGUGCAUGCAUUCCAGACACUGGCACGGGCAAAGGAUGAGGGCGAGGGACCAGGACCAGAUCCUGAAAUGCACUGAACAUAAUGUAUACCAAGCAGAGCUAAUUUUAUUUUAUUUACUGUU